This is a small nuclear RNA of Astatotilapia calliptera (eastern happy), 108 nucleotides long. The record is from Ensembl. NCBI's taxonomy places the organism in Eukaryota, Metazoa, Chordata, Actinopteri, Cichliformes, Cichlidae.
GUGCUUGCUUUGCCAAGUGCAUACACUAAACUGGAAAUAGUACAGAGAAGAUUAGCAUGGUCCAUGUGCAAGGAUGACACGUAAAAUCGUGACACGUUUACAAAUUUA